AUGCUACGGUACAUUACGAUACGAUCGAAGUGGAAAACUGGCUUUAGAAUGCGUGCGGGUAUCCCAUCAGGACCGGUGGCUUUUGAUGUGUCUAAACUAGACAAACAAGCUGACACUGUUAGCUCUAUAUCAGAGAAUUUUAUAUCCGAUCUUUUGGGGGGAAAGGGAAAACUGGGCACUGCGUUGGGUGAAGUAAAACAGAGCAAAAGUACGUGUUAAAAAGUUCAGUUUUCU
Non-coding RNA from Paramuricea clavata, 234 nucleotides. Lineage: Eukaryota; Metazoa; Cnidaria; Anthozoa; Malacalcyonacea; Plexauridae. The record is from the annotation of a GenBank genome assembly.